Long non-coding RNA from Capsicum annuum, 1135 nucleotides. RefSeq lists it as uncharacterized. The record is from RefSeq and is a predicted model, not a curated record. The transcript has 3 exons. Lineage: Eukaryota; Viridiplantae; Streptophyta; Magnoliopsida; Solanales; Solanaceae.
AACAAAUUUACCAAUUACUCCAAGGCUCCAUUAAUUUUAUACGUUAAGACUCCUAGACUUACUAUGCAUCAGCUACACGUUACAAUACAAACCUCCCUGCCUUCUUCAAGUUUCACAGGAUAAAACCUCACUUUUCCCCAUCAGUUUUUCAUAUGAUAUCCAUAAAUAAACAUCCUUAUUCCUCCUCUAAAACUCAAAUCUCAAGAAUCUGAUGAAAUUCAUUCAAGAAAACAAGUCUAAUCCCUUCUCCAGAUCUCAAGUUCUUCAAAUGUUUUGAGGUUCUGGCUCUCAAGUUCGCGGUCAGGCACCUCAUUAGGAUUCCUAACUUCUGUUAUUGGUGAGCCUCUUUCCUACCAGGAGGCUUGAUGAGAUAUGAUGAUUUUUUUGUAUUUCCUUUCCUUUCAGUAUUAGUACUUAUUAGAGGCUUCACAGGCUAGUGUAGUUGUCAAGCAAACUUUGUAAUUUUCAGUCUUCAUUUAUAAAAACUAUUGGUAUUGUUGAACAUUAUGCGGUAUUAAUAAACUUUGGUGAAGUUUUAUCUCCUUAGAAAAUCGUAAUUGAAUUCUAUAUUACUUCCGCUUUAUACAUUUGUAUUAGAAGUAUGCUCGGGUGAUAUGCCAGAACGUUCGCUCGAACUAGCUAUAGUAUCAUGUGCGUGCCACGUCCAGGGCCUCAGCUCGGGUCGUGACAACCAGUUACUGUCCACAAUCUUGCUUCUUCUUACUUUAUAGGUAGCUGAAAAGAUACUCGACAGGAAAGAGCUGGAAUUCUACAAAUGGGACGGCGACCUUUCUCAGCUGCUGCAGAAUGUUAGAGAUAAGCUGAACAAAGUUGCAGAAAACUGGACUAGAGAGGAGAAGAACCAUUGUCUGGAAGAGACAGAGAAGUCAUUCAAGUUCUCCGGGGCCAUCCUCCGAUUGAUAUUCUCUUGAUGCACAACUUUACGCUCUGUUUCCUUGUUAACUUGUACAUCAUGGAUGGUCAAAACCUGUAAAUUUCUGUGAAUAGCUGUGUUUCUUUUCGCGUUUAAUUCUGUCUAUGGUGUACAAGAACUUGAUUAUAAUUCAAGUGUUACAUGAUUACUCAAUUCUCAAUGUUGCUAAUUCUUAACUAUGGGCUAUCCAGCCUCAUAGAA